RNAcentral lists this ribosomal RNA (229 nucleotides) under uncultured bacterium. Its description in RNAcentral is "partial 16S ribosomal RNA". It matches the Rfam family "Bacterial small subunit ribosomal RNA", at positions 568 to 796 of the family's 1533-position model. The record is from RNAcentral.
CAUGUAGGCGGCCGUGUAAGCAUCUUGUGAAAUCCCCCGGCUCAACCGGGGAACUGCUGGGUGAACUGCACGGCUUGAGGCAGGUAGGGGUGCGUGGAACUCUUGGUGGAGCGGUGAAAUGCGUAGAUAUCAAGAGGAACGCCGGAGGCGAAAGCGGCGCACUGGGCCUGUCCUGACGCUGAGAUGCGAAGGCUAGGGUAGCGAACAGGAUUAGAUACCCUGGUAGUCC